Megalobrama amblycephala (Wuchang bream) is the source of this 2535-nucleotide long non-coding RNA. RefSeq lists it as uncharacterized. NCBI's taxonomy places the organism in Eukaryota, Metazoa, Chordata, Actinopteri, Cypriniformes, Xenocyprididae. The record is from RefSeq and is a predicted model, not a curated record. The transcript has 3 exons.
GGCCCUGGACCGGGUCAAAAUUGAUGCUAUAAUGAGUAUGCAUGUUACAAAGUGUAUUUUGUAUUGUUCUUGAGUUGUUAUCCCCAAGCAUAGCUAAGGUAUUAAAUGUUGAGUACAAUCUGUAGAAGGAAGGUGCAUUUAAUGGAUAUUAAUAAAUUUAAUAAUAUUAAUAAAGGUGCUCUUUAUUAAUAUUAUUAUUAUUAUUACAGAUUCAGUGAUCCGUGAUCCAGAAAUUUCCUGGAACCACAAGGGCCCAGGCUAGGGAUAGCUGUAAAUCAGAAGCUCACUGAGCUGAGGGCCUCAAAAAAAGUGUAGAUUGAACCAGGCUGCACUAUUUGCUAUUUUAGUCAGGGCCGUGCACAAACAUUUUAAGGGGCAGUGGCCCAAACCAAAAAAAAAAAAGGGCACUAAAGGGACGGGAGGAUAUUGGGGGGUGGGGUCCUUGUUAGUACAAAUUAUUAAUUUGUUACAAAUAUACAAUUAAAAGAGAAGACAGCACCUUGACUUUGACUUUUGUAUAAUACCUUGACGAAGGCUGUACGCCAAAAUGUUGGUUAAUAUAUAAAAUUAUUAAAUAAAACACAUAUCUAUGGUGAUUCCCCAUCCCUGGAACCCGAUUUGUUGUAUGUUUGUUUCCAAUUGAAAGAAUUUUUUGGCAUAAGGUUAAUGAUGAAAGCACAUUAACCCCACCCCCACCCCAUAAAAAAAACACUUCACCAGAAAUCCCGCCCUGCUGCUAAUUUCAUUGGUUACAGUAACGGGUAGGUUUAGAGAUCAGUGGUUGGUAUAUGCGAUCUGUACUGGCACUUUUGGAUGUCCACCACAGGCUGCAGCAAGACUCUUCUUGGCUAGCCAGUAGUACCCGCCUUAAAAGUAACAACCCAGUUUUAAAAUGGAUAUACUGGAUAUAAUGUUACAAAAACAUGUUGUAUUAAGGUUUUAAUGUCAUUUUUACUUCAUUUUAGAGAUGCCAGGAAGCACACACAAAAUGUGCCCAGGGUGCAAUACCCUAAUAAGUGUUGCAUACAAGACUUGCCCACUUUGCAAACAACUGCAGCCGUACAAAGCAAAAGUUGCAGCGAAGAGAUGCAACUUUCAAAAUAAAAAAUCUGAAUGGAAGCAGUCAGUCAAGAAAAACAACAACAGGACAGUUGUUCUUAAUAGCAGCCAUGUGUUGCUUGACACACUUGCUGCACUUUAUUUCUUCCCCAUACUACUUUUGGGGAAGAAAUCCAGGGGAACCUUGGUGGCCGAUGUCAUCCUAGGAGGGGAUUAUGUUUUGGAUCCCCAUUUGCUUCAGAGGGUUAAACUUAUGUAUGAAGCUGUGCUAAAGACAAUACGUACCUGGUGGAACAUAUUUCUGGCGCUGCAAAAAAGUGUGCAGAGGUGCGUAUUUCCUACGAGACCAGGUUGGGUUUUGAGCUGCUUCAUUCUGCAUCUCUGGCUCUCUCCAUGUCUUCAGCCGUGACGCUGCCCAAAGAAGAGUAUUAAAUCCUCGUGGAUUUAUACUAUGUUUAAAAAAUAAAAUAAAAUAAAAAAUAUCACAAAAUACAGAACCCAUCAAAAGAUUUGAAACAUUACAAUUGUGUAAUGUUUUAGAAAGAUGUCUCUUUUAGGCCAUUUUACAUGCAGUUUAGUGAAUUCAUGAAACUUACUUGAUAUGCUCACAAUCUCUGACAAAAGUUUUUCCAUGCAUCGUUUAUUCUAAUGUGUUUCUGUAUGCACACAGAGGCAUAUCGUAUAGUACAGGGAAAUGACUGACCAAAAUCCAACGCGAUAAGACGGUAGAGUGCGAAAGAAAAAUUAAUAUGGCGAACGACAAUACCGGAGGCGGCAACGUUUACGAAUGUAAGUGUAACUUUUUAUUAAUAAGAACAUCUUUGUAAAGAUAUUCUGAAGCUAAAUGAUACACGUUUAUUUGUUGGCACAGUAAUUAAGUUUUAGACACUAAUUAGUGCGUUUUGCAGUUGUAUACAACAGAUGAUCAUUUGGUCGAUUUUCCUCAUAUAUGUUAGUGAACUGUUGUACAGUGUAUUUAACUUGCGUCUUUGGAAAUUAUGUAUUGAUGAAUUUUUAUUUGCUUUAGAGACGGAUGAGGAUGUUAGACGGCUAAUUUUUAAAAAGAACUCGGUUUGGUCAUCUGUUUUCUGGGCGGAGAAUAUUUGAGUUUUAGGAAUUUUUCUUCUCAUAAAUGAAUACAGUUGAGGUUUUAUUAAUGUACAUUUAUUACUGUGUAAAUCAUUAGGUGUACUACAGAACAGUACUGAAGGAGAAGGGCCUGCUGGGUGUGGUAUCCCUUUCUAGAGCUGCCAAAAAGUGGGAAAACCUAAAAAAAAAAAAAACAUACAAGGCAAGAUAUUUAUACAGAUUUGCUUUAGACCCUUUGCAUAAUCUAAAAAUAUUUUUUAAUAAAUCAUGAAUUGUACAUUUGUAAAUGUGAACAGACACCAAAAAAAAUUAAGUUUUAUCCCUGAAUUUGAUACAUAUAAGCAGUGAUGGGAAUAACGGCGUUAUAAAUAAACGGCGUUACUAACG